GCCUUUGUGGUGUAAUGGUCAGCACGCUCGGCGCGUAUUCGAGAGGUCCGAGGUUCGAGUCCCGGCGACGGCA
RNAcentral lists this transfer RNA (73 nucleotides) under Stegodyphus mimosarum. It matches the Rfam family "tRNA". Rfam says of the family: Transfer RNA (tRNA) molecules are approximately 80 nucleotides in length. Lineage: Eukaryota; Metazoa; Arthropoda; Arachnida; Araneae; Eresidae. The record is from Rfam by way of RNAcentral.